RNAcentral lists this ribosomal RNA (468 nucleotides) under uncultured bacterium. RNAcentral's name for it is "partial 16S ribosomal RNA". It matches the Rfam family "Bacterial small subunit ribosomal RNA", at positions 28 to 507 of the family's 1533-position model. The record is from RNAcentral.
GACGAACGCUGGCGGCGUGCUUAACACAUGCAAGUCGAACGGAAAGGCCCUGCUUUUGUGGGGUGCUCGAGUGGCGAACGGGUGAGUAACACGUGAGUAACCUGCCCUUGACUUUGGGAGAACUUCAGGAAACUGGGGCUAAUACCGGAUAGGAGCUCCUGCUGCAUGGUGGUGGUUGGAGAGUUUCGGCGGUGGGGGCUGGACUCGCGGCUUAUCAGCUUGUUGGGGGGGUAGUGGCUUACCAAGGCUUUGACGGGUAGCCGGCAUGAGAGGGUGACCGGCCACAAUGGUACUGAGAUACGGACCAGAAUCCUACGGGAGGCAGCAGUGGGGAAUAUUGCACAAUGGGCGGAAGCCUGAUGCAGCAACGCCCCGUGCGGGAUGACGGCCUUCGGGUUGUGAACCGCUUUCGCCUGUGACGAAGCGUGCGUGACGGUACUGGGUCAAGAAGCACCGGCUAACUACGUG